GGCUCAGGAUGAACGCUAGCUACAGGCUUAACACAUGCAAGUCGAGGGGAAACGAUAUUGGAAGCUUGCUUCUGAUAGGCGUCGACCGGCGCACGGGUGAGUAACGCGUAUCCAACCUGCCCAUCACUUGGGGAUAACCUUGUGAAAGUAAGACUAAUACCCAAUGACGUCUCUAGAAGACAUCUGAAAGAGAUUAAAGAUUUAUCGGUGAUGGAUGGGGAUGCGUCUGAUUAGCUUGUUGGCGGGGUAACGGCCCACCAAGGCGACGAUCAGUAGGGGUUCUGAGAGGAAGGUCCCCCACAUUGGAACUGAGACACGGUCCAAACUCCUACGGGAGGCAGCAGUGAGGAAUAUUGGUCAAUGGACGAGAGUCUGAACCAGCCAAGUAGCGUGCAGGAUGACGGCCCUAUGGGUUGUAAACUGCUUUUAUAAGGGAAUAAAGUGGGAGUCGUGACUCUUUUUGCAUGUACCUUAUGAAUAAGGACCGGCUAAUUCCGUG
RNAcentral lists this ribosomal RNA (499 nucleotides) under uncultured bacterium. RNAcentral's name for it is "bacterial SSU rRNA". It matches the Rfam family "Bacterial small subunit ribosomal RNA", at positions 21 to 507 of the family's 1533-position model. The record is from RNAcentral.